Molecule: ribosomal RNA, 467 nt
Filed under: uncultured bacterium
Lineage: Bacteria
Description: partial 16S ribosomal RNA
Rfam family: Bacterial small subunit ribosomal RNA
Source: RNAcentral
GACGAACGCUGGCGGCGUGCUUAACACAUGCAAGUCGAACGGAAAGGCCCUGCUUUUGUGGGGUGCUCGAGUGGCGAACGGGUGAGUAACACGUGAGUAACCUGCCCUUGACUUUGGGAUAACUUCAGGAAACUGGGGCUAAUACCGGAUAGGAGCUCCUGCUGCAUGGUGGGGGUUGGAAAGUUUCGGCGGUUGGGGAUGGACUCGCGGCUUAUCAGCUUGUUGGUGGGGUAGUGGCUUACCAAGGCUUUGACGGGUAGCCGGCCUGAGAGGGUGACCGGCCACAUUGGGACUGAGAUACGGCCCAGACUCCUACGGGGGGCAACAGUGGGGAAUAUUGCACAAUGGGCGGAAGCCUGAUGCAGCAACGCCGCGUGCGGGAUGACGGCCUUCGGGUUGUAAACCGCUUUCGCCUGUGACGAAGCGUGAGUGACGGUAAUGGGGAAAGAAGCACCGGCUAACUACGU